This is a long non-coding RNA of Papaver somniferum (opium poppy), 2862 nucleotides long. RefSeq lists it as uncharacterized. The transcript has 5 exons. NCBI's taxonomy places the organism in Eukaryota, Viridiplantae, Streptophyta, Magnoliopsida, Ranunculales, Papaveraceae. The record is from RefSeq and is a predicted model, not a curated record.
UCGGAGCGAGAACACAGUAGAGAGGUAGAGAAUAGUGAAAGAAUUGAAACUGUAAAUAUUCAUUCACACAACACAAGUAUCAAAAUUGUCUAGCGUGGCGCAUAAACAAAAUUGUGCCAUGGCAGCGGAAGGCAUAAAAAAAGCCUUAUGUCGUUUACUGAAGAAAAGGAUAGACCGAAAAAGGCCCUAGCUAUGUUACUGUGAGCAAUUUUUCUUUAUCAAUCUAUCUCCCUCUCAUGGAUCGGGAAGAGUAUUUACAGAAAGAUUAUGAUGAUGAUUCAGUAAAUAAAGAGAAAACUAACAUGUACUGUAUAUUGGGAAUGGAGCUUCAGAGGAGAAUAUAGCUACUGAGAGGAAGAAAAGGGAGAAGCGCAAGGCACAUCAGAAUGACAGCAAUGAAAUUGCCAUGGAAGUGAAGAAGAACGAGAAGUCUGUAAGUGAAAUGUGUGCUGCAGAUGCUCUGAAAGACAAUAUUGCAGACACGGAGAUUGGAAAACAACUAGCCGAGAUUUACUCUAAAAUGAAUGCGGCACAAAGACAAAUUUUGUUGCACAACUUGGGGGAAUUCCUUCGCAAUUAUACAAUGGAGAUUAAUCAACCUGUUACGGGAAAGCCAGUUGGUAGGCGAAAUAUCAAAAUGCCCGGGAAAGAGGAGAGAAACCUCAGGAAGUAUAAGUAAGUUUAUCAUAUAUCGUAUUUUCUUUGUUGGUAAGUUGGUUAUAGACAGGUGUUUCCACAAGUACUGCCUUUGUAUGUGUUUUUAGUAUUAAGCUUUUGUUAGUCAGCCUAUUGUAGAAUUGACCAUAUACAAUGUUUAAGAUGUUGUGGAAGUUGAGAGAUCACACUGGAUGUUGCUGCAAUGAACGCAAUAGUUGCUCAAAGCAGAAACUUGUCCAGUAAUUGAUUGUUUUGUGCAUUGCUGCGCUUUCUUUUACACCAAAAUGCUCCCCUGUGUUCUUGAGUAUUCCAAUUUAUGUGCGAAUGGUUGUUGGCAAAACAGUGUGACUUGUUACAUCAAUGGUUUGUCAUUCGACUUGUACAAGUACCCAUUUUUCGGGGUAUUUGUUUCUCUAAAAGAUCUCUACUAAAAAGCAGAUGGUGUGUUUUGUAAUCUUUGUUUUGUUUUAUGAUGUUCCACGCAACUGCAAAAUCAGGUCUGGAAGAGUCAUUUUAGUAUUUGGUAUGAUCUUUGAUUCUUGUGUGUAAAAUAUGGCAACACGUUGCUAAAUUUUGAGUAACCUCUAGGCUUCGCCUUCAGGGAUCACUUCCUCUCUCUCUAACUGUUCUUGAACCCUAAAUGGAGAAUUUUUUGGUGGCUAAAGAACGGAGAACUUGUAAAACUAUCAAGUUUUUGCAAGCUCAAAUUGGUGUUCUUGAAUUCAUGGGCUCAAUUCAGGUAAAGCUAAAUCAUUUUAACCUUGCCAGUGCCGGUGAAAAUUGGCAUUUCAUGAUAAUGUGCAACCUAAAUUGCGACGAAUACCAAAUUGUCUAGUGUGGCGUACAAGCAAAAUCGUGCCAUGGCAGUGGACGGCACAAAACGGAUGUGUGGUGAUAGGACAGUAAUGUCAUAAUUGUCAUUUAACCGUUUUACAUGCCUCUUCUUCUCUUUGCAACUUUUUUGUAUUCGACAAUAACAAUAAGACAGUAAAAAACCCUAGAUAUUACUUUCAGAAAAUUGUUCUUUUUUAGGUUUUGAAUCUCCCUCCCUCAGCAUGGAUCUCGGUGCGUUUUUAGACAAAUAUUGUGAUGAAGAUUAAAGAAUGCCAAUGAAUCAGACAGGUCAGAAACAAGAAGGGAUUCACAAUUGAUUUUACAUCAUCACAGUGGUGAUGAAGAGAAAACUAAUAUGGAUACCGAAGAUGGAACUUAAUUCAGAGGAGAAUAUGGCAACUGAGAAGAAGAAAAAGGAGAAGCGCAAGGCUCAGGAGGAUGGGGUCGAACCUGAGCGGUAUUGAAAUUCCCAUUGAAGUGAAGAAGAAAAAGGAUUCUAUAAGCAAAAGUGAUUUCUAAAUGUAGAGAAACCUGAUAUGGAUAAAAGGAUAGAACUUUAGAGGAGAAUUUGGCAACUUUGAGGAAGCAAAAAGAGAAUCUCAGGACAAAGGAGCAUGGGAUCAAAUCGGAGCAGUAUGACGGUGUUGAAUCUUCCAUAGAAGUGAAGAAGAUCAAGAAGUCAAGUGAUUGUUCUACACGAAGAUAAAGCCAUUAAAGAACAAAUUCCCUCCAUUAUUUCACCAAGACGUGCAAAGACCGCCUACUCCUAAACGCAAACCAGUAGCAAAUUAAACUUGUGUGUGACCAUGUUCAAAGAUAGAAGACGAUCUAGAACUUGGUGAGACCUUCUAAAAGUUUCACAGAGACCAAACGCUGAUGAAAACCAUGAUGAUUUUGGCAUACACAGCAGGAGGGGCAUAGUAGGUCGCCGCUGAUUUAUCAAAAGCUGGUGAUACGGGUUUGUCCUUGGGAUUUGCUUGGGUUCGUUCUUGGAUCGGCAGAUUCCUAAUGCUCAGAUGUUUUGGAAGCUGAGAAAUCGCACCAGAUGUUGCUGCAAGCGGAUGCUCUCAGCAGAGGAAUAACUAGUAAACAUGUCCAGUAAUUGAUUGUGUCUGCUUUCCUUUACACCAACAGGCACACACAGAUUCUUAAAUAUUCCAAUUUAUGUGGGAGUUGGAAAAAUCAGGGUAGCUUGUUGAGUUGCAGGUGUCAGUGGUUUGUCACUCUUAAGUUGUUCAAGUACCCUUUUUAAGAUUUCUCCAAAAGAUCUCUGCUAAGCCUAAAUGGCAGUUUCUUUAAGAUUUGUUAGAUAGAAAGAAGUGCGAGAGAUAACUUCCUUUUCUACUAUUCUUGAACAUUAAAUGGAGAAUC